CCUACGGGAGACAGCAGUGAGGAAUAUUGGUCAAUGGACGCAAGUCUGAACCAGCCAUGCCGCGUGCAGGCAGACGGCUCUAUGAUUUGUAAACUGCUUUUGUACGAGGGUAAAUCCCGAUACGUGUAUCGUUUUGAAAGUAUCGUACGAUUAAGGAUCGGCUAACUCCGGGCCAGCAGCCGCGGCAAUACGGAGGAUUCAUGCGUUAUCCGGAUUUAUUGGGUUUAAAGGGUGCGUAGGCGGUUCGAUAAGUUAGAGGGGAAAGCCCGGGGCUCAACUCCGGCACUGCCUCUGAUACUGUCGGGCUAGAGUUAAGUGGCGGUAGGCGGAAUGUAUGGUGUAGCGGUGAAAUGCAGAG
RNAcentral lists this ribosomal RNA (358 nucleotides) under uncultured bacterium. RNAcentral's name for it is "partial 16S ribosomal RNA". It matches the Rfam family "Bacterial small subunit ribosomal RNA", at positions 338 to 693 of the family's 1533-position model. The record is from RNAcentral.